Molecule: ribosomal RNA, 601 nt
Filed under: uncultured bacterium
Lineage: Bacteria
Description: bacterial SSU rRNA
Rfam family: Bacterial small subunit ribosomal RNA
Source: RNAcentral
GCACGAGGCCUUUACUGACGCUAAAGCUCGAAGGUGCGGGUAUCGAACAGGAUUAGAUACCCUGGUAGUCCGCACGGUAAACGAUGGAUGCCCGCUGUUUGCGAUACACUGUGAGCGGCCAAGCGAAAGCGUUAAGCAUCCCACCUGGGGAGUACGCCGGCAACGGUGAAACUCAAAGGAAUUGACGGGGGCCCGCACGAGCGGAGGAACAUGUGGUUUAAUUCGAUGAUACGCGAGGAACCUUACCCGGGCUUGAACUGCCGGCGAACGAUACAGAGAUGUUGAGGCCCUUCGGGGCGCCGGCGGAGGUGCUGCAUGGUUGUCGUCAGCUCGUGCCGUGAGGUGUCGGCUUAAGUGCCAUAACGAGCGCAACCCCUCUCCGUAGUUGCCAUCGGGUGAUGCCGGGCACUCUGCGGACACUGCCACCGUAAGGUGUGAGGAAGGUGGGGAUGACGUCAAAUCAGCACGGCCCUUACGUCCGGGGCUACACACGUGUUACAAUGGGUGGUACAGAGGGCAGGCGUCCGGCAACGUCCGUCUAAUCCCGAAAGCCAUCCUCAGUUCGGACUGGGGUCUGCAACCCGACCCCACGAGGCUGGAU